UGCAAUUGCCAAGACGUCACUCAUGAUCCAUAACUCAAGUAUUAUCGUCAUAUCCACCCAUCCUAACCUUACUCGAGUAAAAGACAUGAUAUCCAAUCAUCAAACCCAAUCAAUGGCUACCUGAUGGGAGUUUGCAUGCAUGCCAGAUCAAGAUCAGCUUCCUGCAGGUAAACAUGCAGCUUCUGCCCAAGCCAUCCUGUCAUCUCAAGCAACCAAGCAAUUUCUUCCAAACCUACUCCCCGGUCAUGAAGCUUUCGUGGGGUCCCUAGCUAAUGUUAUCGUCUUCUGUUCAACCAGCAAAUCAACAGCCUGAUCGCUGCGCGCAAGCAAUAUGGGGGAAAAUUAAAUAUUGCAUGUCACCAUAUCAUCUGUUUCCGCUGCUCUUAUUCUCGACAUGGUUGAAACGCAAGGCUAUGUUGCACACGCAAUAAGUUUCGGGAGCAAGCUUCCCCACAGAGAAUGAUGAAGAUGAAACACAAAGAUCAGCAUAAUGCAGAAACUAUCGAGUCACUGCAAGUGAACCCAACGCCAUGCACGGAUGUAGCACUCAUCUCCAUGAGCUUCCUCACCAAACUCUCGCAUGCGCUCUGAUUCUCCCCCUCUCCUUCUCAAGAUCAAAAUGAUGGAGGCCAGCUAGCCAGCCUCGAUACCAGUUUCUCCCAAUGCAGAACCCCUCAAGUGCCGAAUUGUUCCAUUUGCCUUCUAUGUGUUCAUAUUGAAGGAUCAUCAAGUUGGGAAAGCAAAGGAGUCAUGAGCACUGCAAAAUGGACUCUGUCAUUCCGUUUAUAGAAACCCUUUUCAUAUUUCUGUUAUUUCCUUGUUGAGUUAUACAUAAGGGGCAUUACUGUAUUUUCAUAUUUGAUGGGUAGUUACAAUAUUCCUUUAGCAAUUGUAUAUAACUUUAUUCCAUGUAAAUCAAUUUGAU
Carya illinoinensis is the source of this 925-nucleotide long non-coding RNA. RefSeq lists it as uncharacterized. NCBI's taxonomy places the organism in Eukaryota, Viridiplantae, Streptophyta, Magnoliopsida, Fagales, Juglandaceae. The transcript is spliced from 3 exons. The record is from RefSeq and is a predicted model, not a curated record.